UGCAUCGACCAUAGGCAUGUUGCCCACCAUAGUUUACCAGCGUUGCCUGCAUCGGCACUGGACCAUCCUUCCGUUACGCACGCGCCAAACAAACAAACAAACAAAGGCUCUGGCUAGUCACAUUGCCACGGCACCACCACAGAACAAGACAAAGAGAGCCAAAGCUCUAGAAAUUCUCAUUGCAAAUAUAAUAAAAAACUGCGAAAGAAUCAGGCAAUAAACGAAGAAGCAGGCAUAAUAGGCACACAAACAGAGGCUCGCUCAAUAAUCUCCUCUUGUCAACUGUCGCCUAAGUACUUCUACAAGAGACACUCUAUACACCGUGGAAACCGACAGCGUGACAGAAGUAAGUUUAACGAGAUACAAGCGGCAGAAAGCAAAGCUCCGUAGUGCCUUGCAAAAGUAAUAACUAUUUUCAAAA
Diprion similis is the source of this 421-nucleotide long non-coding RNA. RefSeq lists it as uncharacterized. Lineage: Eukaryota; Metazoa; Arthropoda; Insecta; Hymenoptera; Diprionidae. The record is from RefSeq and is a predicted model, not a curated record. The transcript is spliced from 2 exons.